CCUACGGGAGGCAGCAGUGGGGAAUAUUGCACAAUGGGCGAAAGCCUGAUGCAGCUAUGCCGCGUGUAUGAAGAAGGCCUUAGGGUUGUAAAGUACUUUCAGCGGGGAGGAAAAAAUAAAUUCUAAUAAAGUUUAUUCUUGACGUUACCCAAAGAAGAAGCACCGGCUAACUCCGUGCCAGCAGCCGCGGUAAU
This 194-nucleotide ribosomal RNA is filed under the name Buchnera aphidicola. RNAcentral describes it as "partial 16S ribosomal RNA". It matches the Rfam family "Bacterial small subunit ribosomal RNA", at positions 338 to 524 of the family's 1533-position model. The record is from RNAcentral. Lineage: Bacteria; Pseudomonadati; Pseudomonadota; Gammaproteobacteria; Enterobacterales; Erwiniaceae.